CGGGAAUUUUGGGCAAUGGGCGAAAGCCUGACCCAGCAAGGCCGCGUGAAGGAUGAAAUCCCUCGGGAUGUAAACUUCGCAAGAAUGGGAAGAAUUAGCGAGCGCUAAUACCGCUCGUGAUGACGGUGCCAUUUGUAAGCUCCGGCUAACUCCGUGCCAGCAGCCGGGUAAUACGGGGGGAGCAAGCGUUGUUCGGAUUUACUGGGCGUAAAGGGCGCGUAGGCGGUCAGCACAAGGUCAG
This 241-nucleotide ribosomal RNA is filed under the name uncultured bacterium. Its description in RNAcentral is "partial 16S ribosomal RNA". It matches the Rfam family "Bacterial small subunit ribosomal RNA", at positions 356 to 592 of the family's 1533-position model. The record is from RNAcentral.